GAUGAACGCUAGCGGCAGGCCUAAUACAUGCAAGUCGAGGGGCAGCACGGGUAGCAAUAUCUGGUGGCGACCGGCGCACGGGUGCGUAACGCGUAUGCAACUUACCCUUAACAGGAGGAUAGCCCGGAGAAAUUCGGAUUAAUACCCCAUAAUACAAUUGGAUGUCAUCAUUUGAUUGUUAAAGCUCCGGCGGUUAAGGAUGGGCAUGCGUGACAUUAGCUAGUUGGUGAGGUAACGGCUCACCAAGGCAACGAUGUCUAGGGGAUCUGA
This 270-nucleotide ribosomal RNA is filed under the name uncultured bacterium. Its description in RNAcentral is "partial 16S ribosomal RNA". It matches the Rfam family "Bacterial small subunit ribosomal RNA", at positions 28 to 295 of the family's 1533-position model. The record is from RNAcentral.